AGCUAAGUCAACUGUACUAUUAAAGCUUCAUUUGGCGUUGUUGAUUCAAUAAACACUUAAAACUUGUGAUCCUUAUGAUUGUGAACUGGGAAGUAUAUAGAAUUGGAUCCAGGAAUAUUCUGUCAUAUUUUCUGAAAAACAAUAGCAAGUUUUGACAGAGACCAAAUGGAGAAUUGAGAUUCUGCACUCCUCUUGUGAACCAUUGCGAAGGCAAGGGUACUCAAAAAGAGAAUCAUUAACCUCGGAGCCAAUUUUUCAAGACCAUUCCUUGUAGUAAUUUUAUGUCAAUAUGAUGGAAGGCCUUGGAUUGUGUAGCUCUUAGAAAGAGUUGUGUCAUUCUUCAAGGAUCACAAAGGCCCAAUCUCAAAUCAUCUUAUAUCGUUGUUCUACACAUGAGCUGAAAGGUUCUCUUUUUUUGCUCCUCCCUCAAUUGACAUGGGAACACGAGAGGUAUAUGAAGAAAAACUGAAGAGAGGGAAUCUCCAUCAUGAUCCUACAAUCAAACCUGGCCUCGGCUCUGCUAGAUGUCCUCGUUGUCUUUCUCUGUUGAACUCCAAUUCAAAAAGUGGAGAAUGGGCAAUUACUCCUGUUCUGCAUGAUUUCACUGUUGUGG
This is a long non-coding RNA of Solanum tuberosum (potato), 613 nucleotides long. RefSeq lists it as uncharacterized. The transcript is spliced from 6 exons. The record is from RefSeq and is a predicted model, not a curated record. NCBI's taxonomy places the organism in Eukaryota, Viridiplantae, Streptophyta, Magnoliopsida, Solanales, Solanaceae.